UGCGGCGUGCCUAAUACAUGCAAGUCGAACGAGUUCUGAUUAUUGAAAGGUGCUUGCAUCUUGAUUUUAAUUUUGAACGAGUGGCGGACGGGUGAGUAACACGUGGGUAACCUGCCCUUAAGUGGGGGAUAACAUUUGGAAACAGAUGCUAAUACCGCAUAAAUCCAAGAACCGCAUGGUUCUUGGCUGAAAGAUGGCGUAAGCUAUCGCUUUUGGAUGGACCCGCGGCGUAUUAGCUAGUUGGUGAGGUAACGGCUCACCAAGGCAAUGAUACGUAGCCGAACUGAGAGGUUGAUCGGCCACAUUGGGACUGAGACACGGCCCAAACUCCUACGGGAGGCAGCAGUAGGGAAUCUUCCACAAUGGACGCAAGUCUGAUGGAGCAACGCCGCGUGAGUGAAGAAGGCUUUCGGGUCGUAAAACUCUGUUGUUGGAGAAGAAUGGUCGGCAGAGUAACUGUUGUCGGCGUGACGGUAUCCAACCAGAAAGCCACGGCUAACUACGUGCCAGCAGCCGCGGUAAUACGUAGGUGGCAAGCGUUAUCCGGAUUUAUUGGGCGUAAAGCGAGCGCAGGCGGUUUUUUAAGUCUGAUGUGAAAGCCCUCGGCUUAACCGAGGAAGUGCAUCGGAAACUGGGAAACUUGAGUGCAGAAGAGGACAGUGGAACUCCAUGUGUAGCGGUGAAAUGCGUAGAUAUAUGGAAGAACACCAGUGGCGAAGGCGGCUGUCUGGUCUGUAACUGACGCUGAGGCUCGAAAGCAUGGGUAGCGAACAGGAUUAGAUACCCUGGUAGUCCAUGCCGUAAACGAUGAAUGCUAGGUGUUGGAGGGUUUCCGCCCUUCAGUGCCGCAGCUAACGCAUUAAGCAUUCCGCCUGGGGAGUACGACCGCAAGGUUGAAACUCAAAGGAAUUGACGGGGGCCCGCACAAGCGGUGGAGCAUGUGGUUUAAUUCGAAGCAACGCGAAGAACCUUACCAGGUCUUGACAUCUUUUGAUCACCUGAGAGAUCAGGUUUCCCCUUCGGGGGCAAAAUGACAGGUGGUGCAUGGUUGUCGUCAGCUCGUGUCGUGAGAUGUUGGGUUAAGUCCCGCAACGAGCGCAACCCUUAUGACUAGUUGCCAGCAUUUAGUUGGGCACUCUAGUAAGACUGCCGGUGACAAACCGGAGGAAGGUGGGGAUGACGUCAAAUCAUCAUGCCCCUUAUGACCUGGGCUACACACGUGCUACAAUGGAUGGUACAACGAGUUGCGAGACCGCGAGGUCAAGCUAAUCUCUUAAAGCCAUUCUCAGUUCGGACUGUAGGCUGCAACUCGCCUACACGAAGUCGGAAUCGCUAGUAAUCGCGGAUCAGCACGCCGCGGUGAAUACGUUCCCGGGCCUUGUACACACCGCCCGUCACACCAUGAGAGUUUGUAACACCCGAAGCCGGUGGCGUAACCCUUUUAGGGAGCGAGCCGUCUAAGGUGGGACAAAUGAUUAGGGUGA
RNAcentral lists this ribosomal RNA (1484 nucleotides) under uncultured organism. RNAcentral's name for it is "SSU rRNA". It matches the Rfam family "Bacterial small subunit ribosomal RNA". The record is from RNAcentral.